CUCAGAGCGAACGCUGGCGGCAGGCCUAACACAUGCAAGUCGAACGGACCCUUCGGGGUUAGUGGCGGACGGGUGAGUAACACGUGGGAACGUGCCUUUAGGUUCGGAAUAGCUCCUGGAAACGGGUGGUAAUGCCGAAUGUGCCCUUCGGGGGAAAGAUUUAUCGCCUUUAGAGCGGCCCGCGUCUGAUUAGCUAGUUGGUGAGGUAAUGGCUCACCAAGGCUACGAUCAGUAGCUGGUCUGAGAGGAUGACCAGCCACAUUGGGACUGAGACACGGCCCAAACUCCUACGGGAGGCAGCAGUGGGGAAUCUUGCGCAAUGGGCGAAAGCCUGACGCAGCCAUGCCGCGUGGAUGAUGAAGGUCUUAGGAUUGUAAAAUCCUUUCACCGGUGAAGAUAAUGACUGUAGCCGGAGAAGAAGCCCCGGCUAACUUCGUGCCAGCAGCCGCGGUAAUACGAAGGGGGCUAGCGUUGCUCGGAAUUACUGGGCGUAAAGGGAGCGUAGGCGGACAUUUAAGUCAGGGGUGAAAUCCCAGAGCUCAACUCUGGAACUGCCUUUGAUACUGGGUGUCUUGAGUGUGAUAGAGGUAUGUGGAACUCCGAGUGUAGAGGUGAAAUU
Molecule: ribosomal RNA, 619 nt
Filed under: Brevundimonas sp.
Lineage: Bacteria; Pseudomonadati; Pseudomonadota; Alphaproteobacteria; Caulobacterales; Caulobacteraceae
Description: bacterial SSU rRNA
Rfam family: Bacterial small subunit ribosomal RNA
Source: RNAcentral